This 638-nucleotide ribosomal RNA is filed under the name uncultured Ceratobasidium. Its description in RNAcentral is "eukaryotic LSU rRNA". The stretch from base 194 to 347 matches the Rfam family "5.8S ribosomal RNA". Lineage: Eukaryota; Fungi; Basidiomycota; Agaricomycetes; Cantharellales; Ceratobasidiaceae. The record is from RNAcentral.
GAGGAUCAUUAUUGAAUGAAUGUAGAGUUGGUUGUCGCUGGCCCUUUCGGGGGUAUGUGCACGCCUUCUCUUUCAUCCACACACACCUGUGCACUUGUGAGACGGAGGGCUUUAAUUAGUCUUCCGUCUAUUCAACCACACAAACUCAUUGUAUUUAAACUGAAUGUAAUUGAUGUAACGCAUCAUUAGAACUAAGUUUCAACAACGGAUCUCUUGGCUCUCGCAUCGAUGAAGAACGCAGCGAAAUGCGAUAAGUAAUGUGAAUUGCAGAAUUCAGUGAAUCAUCGAAUCUUUGAACGCACCUUGCGCUCCUUGGUAUUCCUUGGAGCAUGCCUGUUUGAGUAUCAUGAAAUUCUCAAAGUAAAUCUUUUGUUAAUUCAACUGGUUUUGCUUUGGACUUGGAGGUCUUUGCAGAUUUCACGUCUGCUCCUCUUAAAUGCAUUAGCUGGAUCUCAGUAUAUGCUUGGUUCCACUCGGCGUGAUAAGUAUCACUCGCUGAGGACACUGUAAAAGGUGGCCAGGAAAUACAGAUGAACCGCUUCUAAUAGUCUAUUAAGUUAGACAAUUUAAUUUUAAGAUCUGAUCUCAAAUCAGGUAGGACUACCCGCUGAACUUAAGCAUAUCAAUAAGCGGAGGAA